GUAGAAGACAAGAAACACAAAAAGGGGCUGCUUGAAGCUUUUUUGUUUUAUUUUGUUGCAAUAUGUAGAAUAUAUACACUAAAUUACAAUUCCUGUGGCUUAAUUUGAGUGCUGUGGGACUUGGAAUGUAACGUCUAAGGAACACCUACAAAAUGAAGUUCAAAUGAAGGACGAUCUCAGACAGACAAAUUGGAAGCAGAGAGAAAUUUGUGCGGUGGAAAGGUGGCAAUAUACAGAGAAAGAGGAAACACUGGCCUGCAGCAGUAGCCCUAGGGCACUCAUCUCUGUGCAAACACUGGCAACAAAAAAGGUAAUUUUUAAACUUGUGAUCCUAUUAAAGUAAUGCUAAUGAUUUAGGUAGUUGAGGAACAUUAUUCAUUAACCAAGCAUAUGUGGUUUUACUUUUCUUCUUUCACUAAAACUCUAAAAAAUCUAUGUACUUUUAUAGGAAACAUUGCUGUCCUUGAAGUUUUGAUAUUUACAGUCUUUAAAUAUGCUUUUUGGGGAUAGCUCAGCAGGGCCACCACCUGCACUGCAAGCACAAGGACCCAGGUUCGAUCUCUGGUACCAAAAAAACCAAAAACCCCCCAAAAAAGCUUUUUUGUGAGAUUUAAAACAACGAACUUAUUCUGAUGCCAUCA
This 641-nucleotide long non-coding RNA is filed under the name Fukomys damarensis (Damara mole-rat). Its description in RNAcentral is "lncRNA (ENSFDAG00000029656.1)". Lineage: Eukaryota; Metazoa; Chordata; Mammalia; Rodentia; Bathyergidae. The record is from RNAcentral.